GGGUUGGUAGCUGAGAUGGUUCAAGCGUCCGGCUGAAGACCGGAAGACGAGGAUUCGAGCACCUCUCAACCCA
Molecule: transfer RNA, 73 nt
Filed under: Planctomycetaceae bacterium
Lineage: Bacteria; Pseudomonadati; Planctomycetota; Planctomycetia; Planctomycetales; Planctomycetaceae
Also listed under: 1 other name
Description: tRNA-Phe
Rfam family: tRNA
About the family: Transfer RNA (tRNA) molecules are approximately 80 nucleotides in length.
Source: RNAcentral